GGAUUGGUAAACAUCCGAGCAAAGGGUCGGACAGAAGUCGAUGAGAUAAAGUUACUUCACCUUGAUCUCUUGGAUCUCUCCCUAGUGUUCCAAUCUUGUUGAGUCAUCGGUGAGUAUUUGGUCAAGACCCAAAGAGGAGAAGGUCAAAUUGGAUGGUGGAUGACCUUCACAAUACUUGCCCCCCACUCUCGAGUUCAAAGUAGUUUCAUUGCUUUAGACAAGGAAAGUAGUCAGUCUUGAGGUUGGUC
Molecule: long non-coding RNA, 248 nt
Filed under: Elaeis guineensis (African oil palm)
Lineage: Eukaryota; Viridiplantae; Streptophyta; Magnoliopsida; Arecales; Arecaceae
Description: long non-coding RNA (EGUI_LNC056158)
Source: RNAcentral